Pezoporus flaviventris is the source of this 516-nucleotide long non-coding RNA. RefSeq lists it as uncharacterized. The transcript is spliced from 3 exons. NCBI's taxonomy places the organism in Eukaryota, Metazoa, Chordata, Aves, Psittaciformes, Psittacidae. The record is from RefSeq and is a predicted model, not a curated record.
ACCUUCCCAGCAUGUUUCGACUGCUCCCUGCUGAGCUGGUGUACCUCACCAUAGUGCAUGCACUGUAGUGUCUGCUGCUGCAGUUGUCUUCACCAAAGCAAAGGAAGACAGAAAAUGCAGGGAAAGAGGGGUCUCCAGGAAACAAUAACUGCUGCCAGAGGAGGAUGCUGGGUGACAGCAUGGAGAAGGUUUCCUGUAAGGACAUAAUCAGAGGUUCUGCUGGCAUCAGCAGGAGGUGACCGUCACAGAGACCCCUAUAUCCCGCUGCUGCCUAGGCACAGCAGUCCUGCCUUCCCCAGCCCGCGGGGACCACCGGAGCCCACGGGGAUCCCGCAGCACCGCAGGUAGUUCCCAACAGCGGCCGACGCCGUGGAUCCCACCGUCGUGUUCUGCGGGGGGGAGGGAGGCAGGUAACCAACCUGGGACUCGGGUGGAGGACUGGGCACAAGGCAUCCGUGAAAGAAACAGCUCAGCUGGGAAGGAGACGGAGCCCGUCUCGCUCUUGACUUACCCAGG